GUAGUUGAAAUAAUAGAAUUGGAACUUGUUUGGUCAAGUAAGGGAAACUCAAUCAAAUUCAUAAUUGUCUCAAUAGAAUCUUUUCCUUCUUUUUUUUGUCUAAAUAUAGACAAAACAAAGUGUCCCUAG
Molecule: ribosomal RNA, 129 nt
Filed under: Triticum aestivum (bread wheat)
Lineage: Eukaryota; Viridiplantae; Streptophyta; Magnoliopsida; Poales; Poaceae
Description: partial small subunit ribosomal RNA
Source: RNAcentral